UGGGGAAUAUUGGACAAUGGGGGCAACCCUGAUCCAGCGAUGCCGCGUGAGUGAAGAAGGCCUUCGGGUUGUAAAGCUCUUUCACCUGAGACGAUGAUGACGGUAUCAGGAGAAGAAGCACCGGCUAACUCUGUGCCAGCAGCCGCGGUAAGACAGAGGGUGCUAGCGUUGUUCGGAAUGACUGGGCGUAAAGGGCGCGUAGGCUGCCUUUUAAGUCAGGCGUGAAAGCCCCGGGCUUAACCUGGGAACUGCGUUUGAUACUGAAAGGCUUGAGUGCGGAAGAGGAGAGUGGAAUUCCUAGUGUAGAAGUGAAAUUCGUAGAUAUUAGGAGGAACACCGGAGGCGAAGGCGACUCUCUGGUCCGCAACUGACGCUGAGGCGCGAAAGCGUGGGGAGCAAA
Molecule: ribosomal RNA, 400 nt
Filed under: uncultured bacterium
Lineage: Bacteria
Description: bacterial SSU rRNA
Rfam family: Bacterial small subunit ribosomal RNA
Source: RNAcentral